Molecule: transfer RNA, 83 nt
Filed under: Clostridia bacterium
Lineage: Bacteria; Bacillati; Bacillota; Clostridia
Also listed under: 2 other names
Description: tRNA-Leu
Rfam family: tRNA
About the family: Transfer RNA (tRNA) molecules are approximately 80 nucleotides in length. Their secondary structure includes four short double-helical elements and three loops (D, anti-codon, and T loops).
Source: RNAcentral
GCGGUCGUGGCGGAACUGGCAGACGCGCACGUUUGAGGGGCGUGUGGGCAACCGUAUGGGUUCAAGUCCCAUCGACCGCACCA